Molecule: long non-coding RNA, 1376 nt
Filed under: Mytilus galloprovincialis (Mediterranean mussel)
Lineage: Eukaryota; Metazoa; Mollusca; Bivalvia; Mytilida; Mytilidae
Source: RNAcentral
UUAAUAAUUCUUAUUUUUUUUAUUUUGUAAAGUAAACUUAAUGUACAUAGAAAUAUCAUUACCUGACAUUAUCACAAUUUAAUACAUUAUAUAAAAUACCAUCAUAUUAAUAAUGCAAGUUUCUAUAAAAAUAAAAAAGGGAAUAAAGAUAAAAUAAGAUAGUGUUGUAUCAAUAAACUCAUCAUAGACACCAGGACUAAAUUUUGUAUAUAUACACCAGACGCGCAUUUCGUCUACAAAAGACUCAUCAGUGACGCUCGAAUCCAAAAAAGGUAAAAAGGUAAAAAGGCCAAAACAGAUAAGUAAAGGUCAUUGUUUAGAAUUUAUCGUCAAGGAAAAAUGUACUAUGCCAUAACACAAUAUCUUGUUCAAAACUGAUUCAGGUAAAAAGUAAAGUCACAAUCAAAGUGCCUGUAAGCACUGAACGGUAAAUAUUGCUUCAAUUUAUCAGUAGGAAGUAAAAUUAAAUAUUGCAUUGGUUGCAGUUAAUUUAACAGCAAUUCUUAAGAUGACUUUAACAAUGACAUCAUUAUUUUGUUUUAAACAGAUAUAAGAUUCCUUCACCUUGCAAAAGUUAUGUCAUUUUCUAGGAAAGUGUAACAUCAUGUUGUGCCUUGAAUAUCUGAGCAUAUAUUACAUGGAUAAAUUUCUGGAAAUGUUCAUGGAUAAGAUGUACAGAAUGUUAUGAUCAAUGCACUAUAUUUUGUGUAUCAAAAAGGUAGUGAUAAGCCUUGGAAGAUUUAGAUAUCAAGCCAGUCCAAUAAGGUUUUGAUUGCAUUUCAUGCAAUCUUUACCUAAAAAAAAAUACCAAACACUGAAAUACUGAACAGAAAGUUCCUUAUCAAAUGGAAAAAUCAAAAGCUCCUACACAUCAAAAGGAUGGAUAACAACUUAUGUGUAGGAUCCCUGCAGAUUUCAUAUUUAAGCAGCAUAAAAAAAUAGUUUGAAUUCUGAGUACAUCUGAAACAACAGAAAAAGAUUCAAGUUGCACCCUAUUAAAAAAAACUGUUUUCUUCAAAGAAAUUACAAAAAGAGUCUCAAUGGUGUAAAUAUAGAAAUAGGAAAUCUGAAAUUAAACUACAACCCUAAAACUGAUAAUUAUUUCACUGUAAAUGCAAAUUUAUUUCACAACAUUUGGGUUUUUUUUGCUUAGUAACAGAUAUUCAGUGAGUUAGUUGUUUUAAAUAGCAGCUGAAAGAUGGUCAAAUUUCCUGAGCAGCAAAGCGUCGUAUAUAAACGAUUGAGGGUUGAAAAUGAACAAUAUUUAUAUCGUUUAAGAUAAUACAUGAAAAAUACACAAGAUUUGCUGUAGUCUUACUGUUAUUCAUGUACACAUUUAGAUAAAAUAGUUUAAAUAAAAACAGUAAUUUAAUAAA